Chinchilla lanigera (long-tailed chinchilla) is the source of this 871-nucleotide long non-coding RNA. RefSeq lists it as uncharacterized. The transcript is spliced from 3 exons. NCBI's taxonomy places the organism in Eukaryota, Metazoa, Chordata, Mammalia, Rodentia, Chinchillidae. The record is from RefSeq and is a predicted model, not a curated record.
ACAGGGCCCUCGCCUAAAGUUUUCCCGUGCACUGAGGCCUGCGCAGCGCUUCCCUCCCGUUCCAGUGGGCGAACAUUGCCACACAGGAGGCCCAAGAGAGCUUCCCACCUCAGCGUCUGAGUGACUGGCACUACAGACUUUAGCCUCCACCCCAGUGACGGUGCUUUUCUUGCAAAUUAUGGAUCCAAAGGACGGAGUGAGGAUGCGCCGGCGAUCCCAGCUGUCUUCAAAUCCUGGCUACAUGACCCCAUGCUGAGUCUGAGCACAGCGACUCAGAGUCCGCCUUCAGCCCCCACGUCAGGACCGUAGGAACCGGGACAGUGAGCACCAAGAGCUGACGUCAGACUUUGGCCUCUGGAGGAUGAGACUCUGUCCCAGAGGAGUGACAACCCCCGCCCCCACCCUGUGCGGGUGCGUCUGUGCUAGGGUCCAGCCCCCCCAGAACUUCGGGAAGCCCAGAGCGUGGCUUCAGAAUCCCUCACUCUGUCCUGACCCCAAAUACUCUCAAGCCCAACUGAAAGGGAAAAACUGUACCAGAAAAUUGUUCCUUAAAGAAAACUUUGUUCCUUUGAAGCUGCCUGGCUCUGCAAUGGCUUCCUGGCUUCGUAAUUACUUUCUUGACCCCUGUGACCAUGAGCAUGUAACUGAACAUGCAGGAUGCCUGACUGUAACUGAUGAUCGUGAAUCUGGCUUUGUAACCAGUGAUCUCACCCUGCUAGCUCAUCAGGAGAACUGCCAGGCUGUUCCGUCUCACUCUUGCACCUCCUGCUUGUGCAUCAUAUAAAAGCCCUAGACCACCAGAGAUCAGGGCCUGAUACUUCAGGGGUGACCCUGACCAGUGCCUGCUGACGUAAAUAAAUCUGCCUCCAGA